UACCAGCUGAACUUGAUUUAGAUCCUGGCUGGAGCCUUCCCUGAAGGGUGUGGUGUGAAAGCCCAGCAGUUUGCUCUGACAUAACAGCACCUAUCUGGAAGAUCACCAACAGAUAGAAAAGAAAAUGACAAACCAUGUGCAUGGAAAAGUGGAGAAACUCUGAGGGUGAUGACUACUGGUGAUGACUAGAAUAGUCAAUGUUGUUUGGCCGUGCCCCACAGAUUGCGGGAUCUUAGUUCCUCCACAGGGCAUGGAACCUGUGCCCCCUGUAGUGGCAAUGUGGAGUCCUAACCACUGGAUGGCCAGGGAAUUCUUAAGAUUUUCUAUUUCUUCAUGGUUCAGUUUUGAUAGGUUGUAUGUUUCUAGGAAUUUAUCCAUUUCUUCUAGGUUGUCAAAUUUGUUGGCAUAUAGUUAGUUGUUCAUGGUAGUCUCUUAUGAUACUUUGUAUUUCUGUGGUAUCAGUUCUAAUGUUUCCUCUUUCAUUUCUUAUUUUAUUUGAGUCCUCUUUCUUUUUUUCUUGGUGAGUCUAGUUAAAGGCUUUUCAGUUUUGUUUAGUUUUUCAAAAAAUAGCUCUUAUUUUCAUUGAUCUUUUCUAUUUUCUUUUUAGUUCCUAUUUCAUUUAUUUCUGCUCUCAUCUUUGUUAUUUCAUUACAUCUAACUUAGGGCUUCAUUUGUUCUUCUGUUUCUAGGUCCUUGAGGCAUAAAGUUAGGUUGUUUAUUUGAUUUUUUAAAUUUGUUUGUUUUCAGAGUUUGGUAUUUAUUACUAUGAACUUCCUUCUUAGAACUGCUUUUGUUGCAUCCCAUAAAUUUUGGUAUGUUAUAUUUCCAUUUCUGUUUGUCUGAAGGAUACACCCCCACAAACAAACUUGUCUGUAACCUAAAGCUAAAUAAUUGUUUUUUCUUGUCUGUAUUUGCCUCUUUCUUAUUGUCAUCUUAUUCACCAGAACUUAAUGUAAGUAGAUUUCUUAGAAUUGAGAUAUUUAUUGGUUUUGUAUUUGUCAUCCUUAGAAAUGUUAAUUAAAUAUUUUGUAUUGGUAAUAUAAAUGUAUGUACAAUGUGUGCAUGUAUGUAUUUUAGGGUGUGAAAGGGCUGUGCUUUGUAUAUGAAAGUUUCUGUGUCAUCAUGCUAAAUAUGUCCAUUUAGAGAAAAAAAAACCUAACAAACGUCUCUAUAACAUUUUGCCUUAUUUUUUUUGCUGCAUAUUCUUUCACUGCUUCUUCAUAUUACAAUGGU
Molecule: long non-coding RNA, 1233 nt
Organism: Orcinus orca (killer whale)
Lineage: Eukaryota; Metazoa; Chordata; Mammalia; Artiodactyla; Delphinidae
Exons: 3
Source: RefSeq, a predicted model, not a curated record